This 484-nucleotide ribosomal RNA is filed under the name uncultured bacterium. RNAcentral's name for it is "partial 16S ribosomal RNA". It matches the Rfam family "Bacterial small subunit ribosomal RNA", at positions 30 to 507 of the family's 1533-position model. The record is from RNAcentral.
AUUGAACGCUGGCGGCAGGCCUAACACAUGCAAGUCGAGCGGAUGAAGGGAGCUUGCUCCUGGAUUCAGCGGCGGACGGGUGAGUAAUGCCUAAGAAUCUGCCUGGUAGUGGGGGAUAACGUCCGGAAACGGGCGCUAAUACCGCAUACGUCCUGAGGGAGAAAGUGGGGGAUCUUCGGACCUCACGCUAUCAGAUGAGCCUAGGUCGGAUUAGCUAGUUGGUGGGGUAAAGGCCUACCAAGGCGACGAUCCGUAACUGGUCUGAGAGGAUGAUCAGUCACACUGGAACUGAGACACGGUCCAGACUCCUACGGGAGGCAGCAGUGGGGAAUAUUGGACAAUGGGCGAAAGCCUGAUCCAGCCACGCCGCGUGUGUGAAGAAGGUCUUCGGAUUGUAAAGCACUUUAAGUUGGGAGGAAGGGCAGUAAGUUAAUACCUUGCUGUUUUGACGUUACCAACAGAAUAAGCACCGGCUAACUUCGUG